UUCCUGUUUUAACAUUGUUCAUUUUAUGAAUCAUUUGAGGGGGAAUAGGAAGGAAGGAAGGAAGGAAGGAAGGAAGGAAGGAAGGAAGGAAGGAAGGAAGGAAGGAAGGAAGGAAGAAAAGAAAGAAAGAAAGAAAGAAAGAAAGAAAGAAAGAAAGAAAGAAAGAAAGAAAGAAAGAAAGAAAGAAAGAAAGAAAGAAAGAAAGAAAGAAAGAAAGAAAGAAAGAAAGAAAGAAAGAAAGAAAGAAAGAAAGAAAGAAAGAAAGAAAGAAAGAAAGAAAGAAAGAAAGAAAGAAAGAAAGAAAGGAAGGAAGGAAGGAAGGAAGGAAGGAAGGAAGGAAGGAAGAAAGAAAGAAAGAAAGAAAGAAAGAAAGAAAGAAAGAAAGAAAGAAAGAAAGAAAGAAAGAAAGAAAGAAGAAAAGGAAGGAAGGAAAGAGAGAGGGGGGCAGGGAGAAAGAAAGGAAGGAAGAUGGACAGAUGAACAAAAAACUGGACACACCCUAAAAGACAUAGCUCGUUUUAUUUAUAUAAACAAGCAGACAGGAAGACAGACA
RNAcentral lists this long non-coding RNA (553 nucleotides) under Monodelphis domestica (gray short-tailed opossum). Its description in RNAcentral is "lncRNA (ENSMODG00000027969.2)". The record is from RNAcentral. Lineage: Eukaryota; Metazoa; Chordata; Mammalia; Didelphimorphia; Didelphidae.